RNAcentral lists this long non-coding RNA (1173 nucleotides) under Eurytemora carolleeae. RNAcentral's name for it is "uncharacterized LOC111696480". Lineage: Eukaryota; Metazoa; Arthropoda; Copepoda; Calanoida; Temoridae. The record is from RNAcentral.
GGAUAUCAUCUCAUCUACAUAUACUUUGCAGUGAAGGGGAAACGUGGGUUCGACUUUAACCAUCUUCCACUCUUCACAUAAUCUUCAAAUCUUCUUCCAGAAUCUUCUCAUAAUCUUCAAAUCUUCUUAAAAUCUUCCAGAAUCUUCCCCUUUUUACACAUUCAUCCAGAAUUUCCCUCUCUUCAUACAAUCUUGUAGAAUCAAAAUUUGUCAUUCAAACAUUUACUUAAUUUACUUUUUAUACUUUCUCCUCUCAAAGUACAACUUCUUGCCAAAUUAUACCGUUUUUCAAGUUUGAAAGAUAUCAAAUGUGAAUGCCAUGUGGUUUUAUCACAAAAUGGCGGCUAACUUGGUUUUCGAAGUACGAAUUGAUGCGAUAGUUGGGUUUUGUUUGGCACGGGGUGUAUCUAAUCCACAAGCAAAGUUUUAAUGAUAUUUAAAUUAAAAUAAGACUAUCAUUAUGGCCACUUAAAUCAAUCUUUUUCAAUUGGAAGGAUAUUAAACCCAUUUCAAUGAUCUCGACUAUCGUUAAUUUUAUUUUGUUACCCAAGUUCAUUGUUUUUGACGUUUAUAAUUCAAUUUUGGACCGCUAACAACCAUCUUUCUUGUAGAUUUACUGAAUAUUCAGCCUUGGCAAUCAUUGUCAAGAUUUUCCUUUUAAACCAUUUAAUGUUCUUUUUUUAAAGCCAUCAGUUUUACUGACUUUUUUCCUUCUAAAAAUAUUUAAAUUGUAAACCAGUAUUGACGAUCAUUUACCAGUUCGGCCUAUCACUCCAGUUAUGACAAUCUCUAAUUGUUUUGAACGAUCCUAUACCAAUUUGACGAUCACAACCUUGAAUGGACAUAUUUUGACCAACAUUUAAACGUGUUGACGAUAAUUACCUAGCCUGAACGAUCUCUACCCUGACAAACAACCCUAGUAGAUGCAUGUCAAUGGAAAAAAAAUAUCGUUGGACUGUAUAGAAUAUCUUAAAACAUAUUAAUAUAUUUUAUAUAUUCUGUAUAUUUUGAAAUUUAUUCUUGAUAAUUAGAUGAAAAUCUUUAAUGUUCUUACUCCAUCAAGUUAUUAAUAAACCCACCGAAAAAAUUAAUUCAUACCCUCAUAGCUUACUGGUUUAGGCAUCUACAUAUUUUUUCAAAAUGUUUUUUUUUACUCUGCUUAUUCAAAAACUU